This 253-nucleotide ribosomal RNA is filed under the name uncultured bacterium. RNAcentral's name for it is "partial 16S ribosomal RNA". It matches the Rfam family "Bacterial small subunit ribosomal RNA", at positions 524 to 776 of the family's 1533-position model. The record is from RNAcentral.
GACAGAAGAUGCAAGCGUUACUCGGAAUUACUGGGCGUAAAGGGUCCGCAGGUUCUUUGCCACGUCUGGGGUAAAAGCACGUCGCUCAACGGCGUGUACGUCCCGGAAACGAGCAGAGUUGAGCCAUUCAGAGGCAUCUGGAAUGCCGUGUGUAGGGGUAAAAUCCGUUGAUCCACGGUGGAACGCCAAAAGCGAAAGCAGGAUGCUGGGAAUGUGCUGACACUCAUGGACGAAAGCGUGGGGAGCAAACGGG